UACGAAGGGAGCUAGCGUUGUUCGGAAUUACUGAGCGUAAAGGGCGCGUAGGCGGGUUUCCAAGUCGGGGGUGAAAUUCCAGGGCUCAACCCUGGGACGGCCUUCGAUACUGGGAGCCUGGAGAUCGGGAGAGGUGAGUGGAAUUCCGAGUGUAGAGGUGAAAUUCGUAGAUAUUCGCAAGAACACCAGUGGCGAAGGCGGCUGACUGGUCCGGUUCUGGACGCUGAGGCGCGAAAGCGUGGGGAGCAAACAGG
This 254-nucleotide ribosomal RNA is filed under the name uncultured bacterium. RNAcentral's name for it is "partial 16S ribosomal RNA". It matches the Rfam family "Bacterial small subunit ribosomal RNA", at positions 524 to 776 of the family's 1533-position model. The record is from RNAcentral.